Molecule: transfer RNA, 66 nt
Filed under: Aedes busckii
Lineage: Eukaryota; Metazoa; Arthropoda; Insecta; Diptera; Culicidae
Description: tRNA-Asp
Source: RNAcentral
AAAAAAUUAGUUUAAAAAAAACUUUAGUAUGUCAAACUAAAAAUAUUAAUUAUUUAAUAUUUUUUA